RNAcentral lists this small RNA (277 nucleotides) under Chinchilla lanigera (long-tailed chinchilla). Its description in RNAcentral is "7SK RNA (ENSCLAG00000021742.1)". The stretch from base 1 to 186 matches the Rfam family "7SK RNA". Rfam says of the family: 7SK was discovered as an abundant small nuclear RNA in the mid-70s but a possible function has only recently been suggested. Lineage: Eukaryota; Metazoa; Chordata; Mammalia; Rodentia; Chinchillidae. The record is from RNAcentral.
GGAUGUGAGGGCGAUCUGGCUGCGACAUCUGUCACCCCAUUGAUUGCCAGGGUUGAUUCAGCUGAUCUGGUUGGUUAGGUGGGUGCCCCCUUUCUCCCUCAAUGCUGCAUGUGCAUCUCUCCUGAAGCUGCACGCUCACUCAAAGAGGUCGACCAUCCCCGAUAGAGGAGGACCGUUCCUCAGUGCCUAUCAUCUUGUUUUGAAAUUCUGUAUUGUUUUUAUCGUUUUUUUAAUUCUCUUUGAAAAAAAAGUGCUAAGCAAUGUUGAUUGCUUACUU